RNAcentral lists this transfer RNA (67 nucleotides) under Bos taurus (domestic cattle). It matches the Rfam family "tRNA". Rfam says of the family: Transfer RNA (tRNA) molecules are approximately 80 nucleotides in length. Their secondary structure includes four short double-helical elements and three loops (D, anti-codon, and T loops). Lineage: Eukaryota; Metazoa; Chordata; Mammalia; Artiodactyla; Bovidae. RNAcentral also lists the same sequence under 5 other names. The record is from Rfam by way of RNAcentral.
UCCUUGGUCCAGUGGCUAAGGCUGCACUCCCAGUGCAGGGGCCUGGGUUCAAUUCCCGGUCAGGGAA